Molecule: ribosomal RNA, 431 nt
Filed under: uncultured bacterium
Lineage: Bacteria
Description: bacterial SSU rRNA
Rfam family: Bacterial small subunit ribosomal RNA
Source: RNAcentral
AACGCGAAGAACCUUACCAAGGCUUGACAUAUAGCGAAAAGUGGCAGAGAUGUCAUGUCCGCAAGGGCGCUAUACAGGUGGUGCAUGGUUGUCGUCAGCUCGUGUCGUGAGAUGUUGGGUUAAGUCCCGCAACGAGCGCAACCCUCGUUCUGUGUUACCAGCAUUUAGUUGGGGACUCACAGGAGACUGCCGGGGUCAACUCGGAGGAAGGUGGGGAUGACGUCAAAUCAUCAUGCCCCUUAUGUCUUGGGCUGCACGCAUGCUACAAUGGCCGGUACAAAGUGCUGCGAGAUCGUAAGAUUGAGCGAAUCACAUAAAGCCGGUCUCAGUUCGGAUUGAGGUCUGCAACUCGACCUCAUGAAGUCGGAGUUGCUAGUAAUCGUAGAUCAGCAACGCUACGGUGAAUACGUUCCCGGGUCUUGUACACACCG